GACUCCACUGUGCGUGUGACAGCGGCUAACCUGCUCCUCGGACAU
Molecule: microRNA precursor, 45 nt
Filed under: Geospiza fortis (medium ground-finch)
Lineage: Eukaryota; Metazoa; Chordata; Aves; Passeriformes; Thraupidae
Description: miRNA (ENSGFOG00000006941.1)
Source: RNAcentral